This 315-nucleotide ribosomal RNA is filed under the name Culoptila sp. nr. rusia-Costa Rica. RNAcentral describes it as "eukaryotic LSU rRNA". It matches the Rfam family "Eukaryotic large subunit ribosomal RNA", at positions 75 to 355 of the family's 3401-position model. The record is from RNAcentral. Lineage: Eukaryota; Metazoa; Arthropoda; Insecta; Trichoptera; Glossosomatidae.
UUCCCAGANUAGCCGGCGAGCGAAACGGGAACAGCCCAGCGUCGAAUCCUGCGGCCCCUGCGGGUCGCCGGGAAAUGUGACGUUAGGGAGGAGAGUUAUAUAUAUACGCGCGGUCUUAGUCACGGCCGCCUGUCCAAGUUCAUCUUGAACGGGGCCGCUUACCCGCAGAGGGUGCCAGGCCCGUAGAGACGGUGGCCGGCCGCGACGGUCUCUCUCCCGAGAGUCGGGUUGCUUGAGAGUGCAGCCCUAAGAGGGUGGUAAACUCCAUCUAAGGCUAAAUACGRCCACGAGACCGAGUAGCGAACAAGUACCGUA